GUCAGUCCAUCAGAUUUGCUCUGGGCCGGUGGUACCGAGUCUAAGCACUGCGGUGAAGGAGUUAGUAGAAAACAGUCUGGAUGCUGGUGCCACUAAUAUUGAGAUAGAGUUUCUCCAUGUUGGUCAGGCUGGUCUCGAACUACUGACCUCAGGUGAUCCGCUCGCUUUGGUCUCCCAAAGUGCUGGGAUUACAGGCAUGAACCACCGCGCCUGGCCCCCGUUCUCCUUACUGGAUCUAAAGCUUAAGGACUAUGGAGUGGAUCUCAUUGAAGUUUCAGGCAAUGGAUGUGGGGUAGAAGAAGAAAACUUCGAAGGCUUAACUCUGAAACAUCACACAUCUAAGAUUCAAGAGUUUGCCGACCUACCUCAGGUUGAAACUUUUGGCUUUCGGGGGGAAGCUCUGAGCUCACUUUGUGCACUGAGUGAUGUCACCAUUUCUACCUGCCAUGUAUCGGCGAAGGUUGGGACUCGACUGGUGUUUGAUCACUAUGGGAAAAUCAUCCAGAAAACCCCCUACCCCCACCCCAGAGGGAUGACAGUCAGUGUGAAGCAGUUAUUUUCUACGCUACCUGUGCACCAUAAAGAAUUUCAAAGGAAUAUUAAGAAGUGAGUGAGCGCUCAUGGGAUCUGGUUGUUUAGAAGCAUGCACCACCUCCCGCUUCACUCUCUCUGUCUCUCCUGCUCCACCAUGGCCAGAAACGUGCCUGCUUCCCCUUCGCCUUCUGCCGUGAUUGUCAGUUUCCUGAGGCCUCCCCAGCCAUGCUUCCUGUACAGCCUGCAGAACUGACUCCUAGAAGUACCCCACCCCACCCCUGCUCCUUGGAGGACAACGUGAUCACUGUAUUCAGCUCUGUCAAGAAUGGUCCAGGUUCUUCUAGAUGAUCUGCACAAAUGGCUCCUCUCCUCCUUCCUGAUGUCUGCCAUUAGCACUGGAAUAAAGUUCCUGCUGAAAAUCCACAUCUCCCCUGGGUCCGGUGUUCUGGAAGUGAGAGAGACAAUGUCACACCUCAAGGAGACAGCUCUCUAGACAGGAAGGUUAUUCACGUCCCAUGUCAAGUCUAGCUAGAGUUCAGAGCAAUUGAGAAGUGCGAUUUUAUCUCCUGCCUUUCAUUCUAUACCCUGCUUCUGAACCAUCGUGUUCAACUGUGAAACUCACGCUUUGGUGACCCUGACUCCAAAACUUAAUACACCCAAGGUCAGCCCCAGUGAUCUGCUUCAUAGCGAGGACUUUGGGUGGGUCUUCCCAGGGAGUAGGGCACCCUCAGAGAAUGUGGCUUUGGACUUCAUCACAGCUAGGGUCUUUUGUGUCACUUCAGAUCUAAACUUGUAACUGUGCUAGAUCUGUUUCUAAUGUGACAACAUCACAAACCACGAGUCCAGAAGCCUAAUCCAUAAUCCUACCUCCUCAUGACGAAGUCUCAUGCUCUGUGC
RNAcentral lists this long non-coding RNA (1431 nucleotides) under Homo sapiens (human). RNAcentral describes it as "novel transcript". Lineage: Eukaryota; Metazoa; Chordata; Mammalia; Primates; Hominidae. The record is from RNAcentral.